CAAUAAGCGGAGGAAAAGAAACCAACAGGGAUUGCCCUUMGUAACGGCGAAGUGAAGCGGCAACAGCUCAAAUUUGAAAUCUGGCGUCUUUGGCGUCCGAAGUUGUAAUUUGCAGAGGGCGCUUUGGCAUUGGCAGCGGUCCAAGUUCCUUGGAACAGGACGUCACAGAGGGUGAGAAUCCCGUACGUGGUCGCUAGCCUUUACCGUGUAAAGCCCCUUCGACGAGUCGAGUUGUUUGGGAAUGCAGCUCUAAAUGGGAGGUAAAUUUCUUCUAAAGCUAAAUACUGGCCAGAGACCGAUAGCGCACAAGUAGAGUGAUCGAAAGAUGAAAAGCACUUUGGAAAGAGAGUUAAAAAGCACGUGAAAUUGUUGAAAGGGAAGCGCUUGCAGCCAGACUUGCCUGUAGUUGCUCAUCCGGGUUUUUACCCGGUGCACUCUUCUAUAGGCAGGCCAGCAUCAGUUUGGGCGGUUGGAUAAAGGUCUCUGUCACGUACCUCCUCUCGGGGAGAACUUAUAGGGGAGACGUAAUGCAACCAGCCUGGACUGAGGUCCGCGCAUCUGCUAGGAUGCUGGCGUAAUGGCUGUAAGCGGCCCGUCUUGAAACACGGACCAAGGAGUCUAACAUCUAUGCGAGUGUUUGGGUGUCAAGCCCGAGCGCGUAAUGAAAGUGAACGGAGGUGGGAACCUUUCGGGGUGCACCAUCGACCGAUCCUGAUGUCUUCGGAUGGAUUUGAGUAAGAGCAUAGCUGUUGGGACCCGAAAGAUGGUGAACUAUGCUUGAAUAGGGUGAAGCCAGAGGAAACUCUGGUGGAGGCUCGCAGCGGUUUCUGACGUGCAAAUCGAUCGUCAAAUUUGGGCAUAGGGGCGAAAGACUAAUCGAACUAUCUAGUAGCUGGUCUGC
Molecule: ribosomal RNA, 901 nt
Filed under: Sclerophoma entoxylina
Lineage: Eukaryota; Fungi; Ascomycota; Dothideomycetes; Dothideales; Dothioraceae
Description: LSU rRNA
Rfam family: Eukaryotic large subunit ribosomal RNA
Source: RNAcentral